UUCGUGUGUACAGCCAAUCCGUAUAUUUUGUGAAACGAUGAUGUCAUCACAUCACGUGUUGGCUGCGUCACACUCUUCUUCUCCGUGUAUAGUGUAUCUCUGUGGCAGAAUUACAGCGCCCCAUACUGGUCUGGCAUAUAUACUACA
Long non-coding RNA from Rhinichthys klamathensis goyatoka, 147 nucleotides. RefSeq lists it as uncharacterized. Lineage: Eukaryota; Metazoa; Chordata; Actinopteri; Cypriniformes; Leuciscidae. The transcript is spliced from 2 exons. The record is from RefSeq and is a predicted model, not a curated record.